Molecule: long non-coding RNA, 3686 nt
Organism: Mesocricetus auratus (golden hamster)
Lineage: Eukaryota; Metazoa; Chordata; Mammalia; Rodentia; Cricetidae
Exons: 2
Source: RefSeq, a predicted model, not a curated record
AGUUAGCAAAAGCUUUUGCUUAUCACAGUGGCCCAGAAUGACCCUGUUAUACAGCAGGCUGCAAAGCAGCAGUUGGCUCCCAGGCCUCCAGCUAACAGGGUUUGUACGAGGACCUGCCAUUUGCCAGCUUUCCCAGGAACCUUCCCAGGAGCCAGCACACUGCCAGAACACCGCGGCUGUUUCCGUGGAACAUCGGGCGGCUACAGCCUUGGAAUUCAACCUCCGGGUUAUUAAAGCAACAAAUUACCCACCGUGAGGACUGCAGAGUGUGUUCAGAUGGAAAACGGCGUAUUUUUUAUGACAUGAUUUAAUUAGGAGCAGCAUCUCCCCAUCCGCUCAGUUGUCAGAGUGAGGCCGAGAUGAGCAGUUGGCCUCUGCCUCUGGCUCUCUUCCCUGCUGAUGCCGCCUCUUGGAGGAGGAACAAAGUGAAACCACUUUGGGAAACCAAUUCAAGCUGGUGGGAGUAGGCCUGAGGGGGAUCUGCAGCUUCCAAAGGUCUUUGGCUCCCCGUGUGUCACCCAGCUGUGGCAGCGUACCCCAGCACAGAGAGGGGCGGGGCUUUGACACCUGUACCCUACCGUCUGCUCCUUGCCCCGGCUUCCACCAUCUUCUGCAUCGCGGCGAUGGAGAAAACGAAACGAAUCUCAAGGGUCCCUUGGAUGGAAGUGUGUGCGUGCGUCUGGAGGAUGUUUGCAGGGAGGGACAGUGGGAGGCUGAACCCAGAUGGGCCGAGCUCCAUGGGCUGAGGCGUUUCUAAAACUGAGUUGGAAAUGAGAGUUUUUAAAGUCUGAUUUCCAUUUUGGACCAUUUUGGUCCUUGACAUUUCCGUUGUAUCCCGCGGCUCUUUCAACAUUCAAACAGAAACUGUUCUAACAUGUAGAUACGUCUCAUUCUACGUCACACACAUGGGCCUUCCCAUCCUCGACCUCCAGAUUUGGAAAGCAGCAGUUUUCCUAGAGAGUGAUGCGGCUCAGCAUAAGCGCCUGAAUCUGUUGCAAAAGUGCACAUCGGUGUUGGAUCAAAGUUCCGGGCACUUCAUUUGGGAAGAAUUCAUGGAGAAUAUGAGUUUUAAAUAUAAUCUGAAAUUUUUUGACAGAUUUGGGGCUUGCUUUAUGCAUAUUUAAAUUUCUUCCCAAAGAAAAUGAAGGAGUCACAAGUUCUUUCUUCUCACUUAAGGAGAGCACCAGUAGGAACGGGGUCCAUCAAAGGGAAGCCUGUCAGAAUCUCCCUUUCAGUGGGGGAUGCAUGAGGACGGCACAUGCCUGGUUCCCUGACACAGAGCCGAGCUCACCAGAUGCAGCUCUGCCUUCACCAGGGUCUACCUGCUGGGUCACAGACGGCACUUUAUAAAAGGAAGACUCAUACCCGUUUUACGGGCGUGACACUCUGGAUGCCAGAGUGAAAUCCGGCCCCUCCGUGGUCCGCAGUCUGACAUCUGACAUCAGAAGAUGCAGGGUCCACUCCUGGGUCUUCCCUUCAUCACCUAGGAUGAACCCCUCAUUGCUGCCUUAUGCAGACAUGCUUGCCGUUAUCUGUGCAAUCAAAGUCUCGGGUAGGGUCAUGGCGUCUGUGGGUUUCUGCAUGGUGAACACAGUCUGGGGCUCUAGCUCAAUGGGAGAGAGAGUGAUUGCAUGGGCAUGCGAGCACACACAUGCACGUGUGCACACACACAGAGAGACAGAAAGACAGAGAGACUCCUGUCCACAUCACACACAGAGACAGAGAGACACAGACUUCUGUCCAGGUGUACUACAUACUAGUACACACACACACACAUGCAUACACACACACAUACACACACAUGCAUACACACACACAUACACACACAUGCAUACACACACACAUACACACACAUGCAUACACACACGCAGAGACUGACUCCUAUCCAGUUGUACUGCGUGUCAGUCAACUACACAUGAUCUGAACUGUGUCACUCUCCGGUGUCUCUGGGUGGCCGCUCAAGACUCCGCUAAGAUCAGCCUAUUUCUCCAUCCAGCCCCCACUUUGUUGCAGGUUUCGUGGAAAGGAUACAUCAAGUCAUAGUAGGAUUUCAGAGAUCGGUAUGUGAAAGGUAAAACUCGGCACUAAAACCUGCUUGUGGUCCGAGUGCCUCCUGCACCAUUUACCUGCCUCGGCGGGAAAGGUGGGCUUUGCGCAGCUGGGGGAAGAGCCUUCUGAUGGUUGCUGCCCGUGUGGAAUGCUGUGUGCCGUUCCCUGGCAGGAAGUUCCUGCUGCGUGCUCUGUAUCUAAACGGCACCUUCUCUGCAGCUGAGCAAGACGUGAACUUUAUCACUGAUGGCCACCGUCCAGGCCUCCAGUGCAAGCCGUCAGAGCCUCGCUGUACAGGCCUGCCCUGGUCUGAGGAGGGGGGGCUGAAAGCCCACACCCAUCAACUCUCUUGGAAAGCAUUUCUAACAGUUCACUCUGCUUGCUACAGGCCUUGCACGUCCUGAAACCUGUUAGCAUUUGAAGUUUGUAUAUUAUGUCGUUUUCAUUAUUUAGGCUUUAUAUAAAUAAUGUGUAUACACCAUGUGUCUGGGGGUAACCACGGAGGUCAGAGGACAGUGUCGGAUCCCCUGGAGCUGGAGCUACAACAGGUCUUCUGCCACCCUCUGUGGGUGCUGGGGAACAAACUCGAGCCCCCUGGAAAAGAGGUAAGGGGGGCUCUUGAGCACUGAUCCCUGAAGUCACACUAGCCUUUAACAGGAAAUCACAGUGACGUUUGGUUGCCACCGCUCCCGUUUAGGCUGUGAGCAAUCUGGUGUCUAGGAUUUAGGCAAUCGUUAGAUUCCCCAGUAGCAAGAACAGCGCCUGGCAUCCGGUAGGCUCUCAACAAACACGGUCAAAAAUUCAAUGAAUCACUGGAGGAAAGGGGGCGUGAUAAAUCUAAAAUAAUACCUACUGCUGGUGCUGUUAUAUUUAGACGCUCUCAUUCAGAUGAAUUGAGUGGGUGCUAUCAAAGGGGUUUGCUGUUAGCCUGAAGGGACUAAAGUUUAAAGGACUUUUGGAGGCCGCUUAGACCAGGGACUUGCAAACUGUGAUUGACAUGUCUAACAUGAGCUACUACUGCCCGCGUCUGGAGAUGAAGCUACAUCAGAGUACAACCCUGUGAAGCCUUUGCACUACAGUUAUUAAUGGAGGAGAGGUGACUGCAAGGCCCCUGUUAUUGUUUAGAUAUGAAAUGUCCUACAUGGUGAACACAGUGUUUGGACUUGGUCCCUAGUUGGUGGUGGCACUGUUUUGGGAGGCUGCAGAAUCAUUAGGUGGCAGGAGCUAGCUGGAGGAACUAGCCGGGGACCUGGACUCAAGGUUGGUAGCUGGCCCCACCCCCCACACUCCCACUACCACAGCCACAGAGCUGACCCUGCCUCCACGCUUUUCCCACCUUGGCGGACCACGUCCUCUGAAUCGUGAUCUAGAAUGUAUUUCCUAAGUUGUGUCUGUCCGAUGCUUUAUCACGGCGAUGAGCAAAGCAGCUACACAACCUACAGAACUCCGUACUCCGCCUUUCACUGAAGAGGCUGGCUGCCCGGACUUGGAAUGCCCCCUCCCCAGGCACAGAAGGCAACUGAGGCUGUGGAUGGGAAAUGGCUUGCUCAGGUUCAUUACCACACGUGGUGGGGGAUGUCCUUCUGUAAGUAUGUUUCUCUUUUUGGUUGAUGAAUAAAACACUGAUUGGCCAUUGA